This 481-nucleotide ribosomal RNA is filed under the name uncultured bacterium. RNAcentral describes it as "partial 16S ribosomal RNA". It matches the Rfam family "Bacterial small subunit ribosomal RNA", at positions 28 to 507 of the family's 1533-position model. The record is from RNAcentral.
GACGAACGCUGGCGGCGUGCUUAACACAUGCAAGUCGAACGGGAUCCGGGCUUUCGGGUUUGGUGAGAGUGGCGAACGGGUGAGUAACACGUGAGUAACCUGCCCCCUUCUUUGGGAUAACGUCGGGAAAUCGGCGCUAAUACUGGAUAUUCUUGCUGCAUCGCAUGGUGUGGUUUGGAAAGGGUUUCUGGUGGGGGAUGGGCUCGCGGCCUAUCAGCUUGUUGGUGGGGUGAUGGCCUACCAAGGCUUUGACGGGUAGCCGGCCUGAGAGGGUGUCCGGCCACACUGGGACUGAGACACGGCCCAGACCCCUACGGGAGGCAGCAGUGGGGAAUAUUGCACAAUGGGCGCAAGCCUGAUGCAGCGACGCCGCGUGAGGGAUGACGGCCUUCGGGUUGUAAACCUCUUUCAGUAUGGAACAAGGAUCCUUCUUGUGGGGGGUUUGAGGGUACGUGCAGAAGAAGCGCCGGCUAACUACGUG